AAAUAAGAAGCAAAAAUUGCAUUUAAUUUCGACUUAAAAGAAUGAGUUAAUUAAACUCCUUAUUUA
This 66-nucleotide transfer RNA is filed under the name Lymantria sinica. RNAcentral describes it as "tRNA-Arg". The record is from RNAcentral. Lineage: Eukaryota; Metazoa; Arthropoda; Insecta; Lepidoptera; Erebidae.